This 509-nucleotide ribosomal RNA is filed under the name uncultured Desulfobulbus sp. RNAcentral describes it as "bacterial SSU rRNA". It matches the Rfam family "Bacterial small subunit ribosomal RNA", at positions 903 to 1382 of the family's 1533-position model. The record is from RNAcentral. Lineage: Bacteria; Pseudomonadati; Thermodesulfobacteriota; Desulfobulbia; Desulfobulbales; Desulfobulbaceae.
CGCCUUGCCAGCCCGCUCAGAACUUAAAUGAAUUGACGGGGGCCCGCACAAGCGGUGGAGUAUGUGGUUAAUUCGAUGCAACGCGAAGAACCUUACCUGGUCUUGACAUCCCGGAGACCCUUAGGAAACUAGGGGGUGCUUCCAUCUGGAAGAAUCUGGAGACAGGUGCUGCAUGGCUGUCGUCAGCUCGUGUCGUGAGAUGUUGGGUUAAGUCCCGCAACGAGCGCAACCCUUGCCUUUAGUUGCCAGCAGUUCGGCUGGGCACUCUAAAGGGACUGCCGGUGUUAAACCGGAGGAAGGUGGGGAUGACGUCAAGUCCUCAUGGCCUUUAUGACCAGGGCUACACACGUACUACAAUGGCCGAUACAAAGGGCAGCGACACUGCGAGGUGAAGCCAAUCCCGUAAAAUCGGUCUCAGUCCGGAUUGGAGUCUGCAACUCGACUCCAUGAAGUUGGAAUCGCUAGUAAUCGUGGAUCAGCAUGCCACGGUGAAUACGUUCCCGGGCCUU